This 2874-nucleotide ribosomal RNA is filed under the name Paraburkholderia kirstenboschensis. RNAcentral describes it as "bacterial LSU rRNA". It matches the Rfam family "Bacterial large subunit ribosomal RNA". Lineage: Bacteria; Pseudomonadati; Pseudomonadota; Betaproteobacteria; Burkholderiales; Burkholderiaceae. The record is from RNAcentral.
UCAAGCGAACAAGUGCAUGUGGUGGAUGCCUUGGCGAUCACAGGCGAUGAAGGACGCGGUAGCCUGCGAAAAGCUUCGGGGAGCUGGCAAACGAGCUUUGAUCCGAAGAUGUCCGAAUGGGGAAACCCACUCCGAAUGGAGUAUCCAUGACUGAAUCCAUAGGUCAUGUGAAGCGAACGCGGUGAACUGAAACAUCUAAGUAACCGCAGGAAAAGAAAUCAACCGAGAUUCCCAGAGUAGUGGCGAGCGAAAUGGGACCAGCCUGUACUCUUUAUUCUUACUGUUAGUCGAAGGCUCUGGAAAGUGCCGCCAUAGCAGGUGAUAGCCCUGUAGACGAAAACAGCGAGGAAGAACUAGGUGUACGACAAGUAGGGCGGGACACGUGAAAUCCUGUCUGAAGAUGGGGGGACCAUCCUCCAAGGCUAAAUACUCGUGAUCGACCGAUAGUGAACCAGUACCGUGAGGGAAAGGCGAAAAGAACCCCGGGAGGGGAGUGAAAUAGAUCCUGAAACCGCAUGCAUACAAACAGUCGGAGCCUCGCAAGGGGUGACGGCGUACCUUUUGUAUAAUGGGUCAGCGACUUACAUUCAGUGGCAAGCUUAACCGAUUAGGGCAGGCGUAGCGAAAGCGAGUCCGAACAGGGCGUUCAGUCGCUGGGUGUAGACCCGAAACCAGGUGAUCUAUCCAUGGCCAGGAUGAAGGUGCGGUAACACGUACUGGAGGUCCGAACCCACUAACGUUGAAAAGUUAGGGGAUGAGCUGUGGAUAGGGGUGAAAGGCUAAACAAACCUGGAAAUAGCUGGUUCUCUCCGAAAACUAUUUAGGUAGUGCCUCGUGUAUCACCUUCGGGGGUAGAGCACUGUCAUGGUUGUGGGGUCCAUUGCGGAUUACUACGCCAUAGCAAACUCCGAAUACCGAAGAGUGCAAUCACGGGAGACAGACAUCGGGUGCUAACGUCCGGUGUCAAGAGGGAAACAACCCAGACCGCCAGCUAAGGUCCCCAAAUAUUGCUAAGUGGGAAACGAAGUGGGAAGGCUAAAACAGUCAGGAGGUUGGCUUAGAAGCAGCCAUCCUUUAAAGAAAGCGUAAUAGCUCACUGAUCGAGUCGUCCUGCGCGGAAGAUGUAACGGGGCUAAGCAAUAUACCGAAGCUGCGGAUGCACAUUUAUGUGCAUGGUAGGAGAGCGUUCCGUAAGCCUGCGAAGGUGCACUGGAAAGUGUGCUGGAGGUAUCGGAAGUGCGAAUGCUGACAUGAGUAGCGAUAAAGGGGGUGAAAGGCCCCCUCGCCGUAAGCCCAAGGUUUCCUACGCAACGUUCAUCGGCGUAGGGUGAGUCGGCCCCUAAGGCGAGGCAGAAAUGCGUAGCUGAUGGGAAGCAGGUUAAUAUUCCUGCACCAUUGUUAAAUGCGAUGGGACGGAUCGCGGAAGGUUGUCCGGGUGUUGGAAGUCCCGGUCCUUGCAUUGGAGAAGGCGCUUAGGCAAAUCCGGGCGCGGAAUUCAAGGGUGCGAGGCCAUUCACUUCGGUGAAGAAGCAAUCGGAAGUGGUUCCAAGAAAAGCCUCUAAGCUUCAGUUUAACAGGACCGUACCGCAAACCGACACAGGUGGGCGAGAUGAGUAUUCUAAGGCGCUUGAGAGAACUCGGGAGAAGGAACUCGGCAAAUUGGUACCGUAACUUCGGGAUAAGGUACGCCCCUGUAGCUUGACGCCCCUGCGGGCGGAGGGUGAAGGGGUUGCAAUAAACUGGUGGCUGCGACUGUUUAAUAAAAACACAGCACUCUGCAAACACGAAAGUGGACGUAUAGGGUGUGACGCCUGCCCGGUGCCGGAAGAUUAAAUGAUGGGGUGCAAGCUCCUGAUUGAAGUCCCGGUAAACGGCGGCCGUAACUAUAACGGUCCUAAGGUAGCGAAAUUCCUUGUCGGGUAAGUUCCGACCUGCACGAAUGGCGUAACGAUGGCCACACUGUCUCCUCCCGAGACUCAGCGAAGUUGAAGUGUUUGUGAUGAUGCAAUCUCCCCGCGGCUAGACGGAAAGACCCCAUGAACCUUUACUGUAGCUUUGCAUUGGACUUUGAACCGGUCUGUGUAGGAUAGGUGGGAGGCUGUGAAGCGUGAACGCCAGUUUGCGUGGAGCCAUCCUUGAAAUACCACCCUGAUCUGUUUGAGGUUCUAACCUUGGUCCGUAAUCCGGAUCGGGGACAGUGCAUGGUAGGCAGUUUGACUGGGGCGGUCUCCUCCCAAAGUGUAACGGAGGAGUACGAAGGUACGCUAGGUACGGUCGGAAAUCGUGCUGAUAGUGCAAUGGCAUAAGCGUGCUUAACUGCGAGACCGACAAGUCGAGCAGGUGCGAAAGCAGGUCAUAGUGAUCCGGUGGUUCUGUAUGGAAGGGCCAUCGCUCAACGGAUAAAAGGUACUCUGGGGAUAACAGGCUGAUACCGCCCAAGAGUUCAUAUCGACGGCGGUGUUUGGCACCUCGAUGUCGGCUCAUCUCAUCCUGGGGCUGUAGCCGGUCCCAAGGGUAUGGCUGUUCGCCAUUUAAAGAGGUACGUGAGCUGGGUUUAAAACGUCGUGAGACAGUUUGGUCCCUAUCUGCCGUGGGCGCUGGAUAUUUGAAGGGGGCUGCUCCUAGUACGAGAGGACCGGAGUGGACGAACCUCUGGUGUACCGGUUGUCACGCCAGUGGCAUCGCCGGGUAGCUAUGUUCGGAAGAGAUAACCGCUGAAAGCAUCUAAGCGGGAAACUCGCCUUAAGAUGAGAUAUCCCCGGGGCUUCGAGCCCCUUGAAGGGUCGUUCAAGACCAGGACGUUGAUAGGUCAGGUGUGUAAGCGCAGUAAUGUGCUCAGCUAACUGAUACUAAUUGCCCGUAAGGCUUGAUCCU